AUUAUGUUGGUGUAUAUCUGGUUUAAUAUUAUUGUUGAAUGAUAUAAGUUUGUGUAGUUUACUAAUUAAGCCAAGUCUAUGUGCUGCUUAUAAAAGUAUUCAUGCGUUACUUUAAUAAAGUUUUAGUUGUAAAUACUAUUAUAUUCAGGACUUAAAAGUAAUGUUAAAUUAGUUUGUUAACGUGAAGUAAGUUUAGCUCAUGUACACACCGC
RNAcentral lists this ribosomal RNA (212 nucleotides) under Taenia serialis. Its description in RNAcentral is "partial small subunit ribosomal RNA". Lineage: Eukaryota; Metazoa; Platyhelminthes; Cestoda; Cyclophyllidea; Taeniidae. The record is from RNAcentral.